GACGAACGCUGGCGGCGUGCUUAACACAUGCCAGUCGAACGAUGAAGCUGGAGCUUGCUCUGGCGGAUUAGUGGCGAACGGGUGAGUAACACGUGAGAAAUCUGCCCUUGACUCUGGGAUAACUGCGGGAAACUGUAGCUAAUACCGGAUACUUUCCCUGGGGGGCAUCCCCUGGGGAAGCAAGAAUUUCGGUCAAGGAUGAUCUCGCGGCCUAUCAGCUUGUUGGUGAGGUAAUGGCUCACCAAGGCGACGACGGGUAGCCGGCAUGAGAGGGUGACCGGCCACACUGGGACUGAGACACGGCCCAGACUCCUACGGGAGGCAGCAGUGGGGAAUAUUGCACAAUGGGCGCAAGCCUGAUGCAGCAACGCCGCGUGAGGGAUGAAGGCCUUCGGGUUGUAAACCUCUUUUAGCAGGGAAGAAGCGAAAGUGACGGUACCUGCAGAAAAAGCACCGGCUAACUACGUGCCAGCCGCCGCGGUAA
This 484-nucleotide ribosomal RNA is filed under the name uncultured bacterium. RNAcentral's name for it is "partial 16S ribosomal RNA". It matches the Rfam family "Bacterial small subunit ribosomal RNA", at positions 28 to 523 of the family's 1533-position model. The record is from RNAcentral.